RNAcentral lists this ribosomal RNA (253 nucleotides) under uncultured bacterium. RNAcentral's name for it is "partial 16S ribosomal RNA". It matches the Rfam family "Bacterial small subunit ribosomal RNA", at positions 524 to 776 of the family's 1533-position model. The record is from RNAcentral.
UACGGAGGGGGCUAGCGUUGUUCGGAAUUACUGGGCGUAAAGCGCACGUAGGCGGACUGUUAAGUCGGGGGUGAAAUCCUGGGGCUCAACCUCAGAAUUGCCUCCGAUACUGGCAGUCUCGAGUGCGGGAGAGGUGAGUGGAAUUCCCAGUGUAGAGGUGAAAUUCGUAGAUAUUGGGAAGAACACCAGUGGCGAAGGCGGCUCACUGGCCCGUAACUGACGCUGAGGUGCGAAAGCGUGGGGAGCAAACGGG